CUACGGGUCGCUCCAGUGGGGAAUAUUGCACAAUGGGCGCAAGCCUGAUGCAGCCAUGCCGCGUGUACGAAGAAGGCCUUCGGGUUGUAAAGUACUUUCAGCGGGGAGGAAGGGAGUAAAGUUAAUACCUUUGCUCAUUGACGUUACCCGCAGAAGAAGCACCGGCUAACUCCGUGCCAGCAGCCGCGGUAAUACGGAGGGUGCAAGCGUUAAUCGGAAUUACUGGGCGUAAAGCGCACGCAGGCGGGUUGGUUAAGUCAGAUGUGAAAUCCCCGGGCUCAACCUGGGAACUGCAUCUGAUACUGGCAAGCUUGAGUCUCGUAGAGGGGGGUAGAAUUCCAGGUGUAGCGGUGAAAUGCGUAGAGAUCUGGAGGAAUACCGGUGGCGAAGGCGGCCCCCUGGACGAAGACUGACGCUCAGGUGCGAAAGCGUGGGGAGCAAACAGGAUUAGAUACCCCGGUAGUC
This 465-nucleotide ribosomal RNA is filed under the name uncultured bacterium. RNAcentral describes it as "partial 16S ribosomal RNA". It matches the Rfam family "Bacterial small subunit ribosomal RNA", at positions 339 to 795 of the family's 1533-position model. The record is from RNAcentral.